Molecule: ribosomal RNA, 253 nt
Filed under: uncultured bacterium
Lineage: Bacteria
Description: partial 16S ribosomal RNA
Rfam family: Bacterial small subunit ribosomal RNA
Source: RNAcentral
UACGGGGGGGGCAAGCGUUGUUCGGAAUUACUGGGCGUAAAGGGCUCGUAGGCGGCCAACUAAGUCGGAUGUGAAAUCCCCAGGCUUAACCUGGGAACUGCAUCCGAUACUGGAUGGCUUGAAUCCGGGAGAGGUGAGUGGAACUGCGAGUGUAGAGGUGAAAUUCGUAGAUAUUCGCAAGAACACCAGCGGCGAAGGCGGCUCACUGGCCCGGUACUGACGCUGAGGUGCGAAAGCGUGGGGAGCAAACAGG